Molecule: long non-coding RNA, 905 nt
Organism: Salmo salar (Atlantic salmon)
Lineage: Eukaryota; Metazoa; Chordata; Actinopteri; Salmoniformes; Salmonidae
Source: RefSeq, a predicted model, not a curated record
CCUAGUGGUCAAACACAGAAAUGGUUCCAAUAGUCUUUUUACCAUACAUUAUUCUCAUAGGGGAUUUUAGAAACACUUCAAAUAAUGGCUGUGUUUCGUGUAGGCUUACCCUGGCGGGACGUUUUGAUAACUGUGUAAAUCUCUCUCGAACAAGAACUACAAAUGCCUGUCUCAAGCUUAGCAUCACCCACCAGGGCCAUGAUGAAUUGGACUAGACUGCAGAAACGAGGCAAAGGAACAGGGCACCAUCAAAAUGAGUGUUUUCUGGGGUAGCGUGGAGCAAACAAAGUUGAAGAUUCCGGGUGUUUGUGACGCCCUCCGUUUGGUACUACGUCGACCUGGUGGUGAGCGUGGUGAAACAGAAGAGUCAGACAAAGUCCUGUUAGGAUGUAUCAGUUAUCCUGUUAGAGCUUGUGUGCUGUAUCCUCAACACCCCAUUUUAUGUUUAUUCCAUGGCCAACCAUCCCUCUAGCUACCCCUUAUUCUACACUAUGCCUUUCAAGCCCCAUGGUCCCUCAACUUCUGAUCUUUUGGAACUCUCCAUCUUAUCGCUGUAAACCCACCCUAUGUUCACUUGUUGUUCUCCUGAUUGGAUAACAUCUAGACUGAGUUGUGGUGUACUUUUCUUUCACCUAUGUAAUGCUUUCCUCCUUCUGCUUAUUCUGGGGUUCAGACUGAAUGCAGUGGUAAAUGUGCUGCUCACAAUUGAUAGCAGCAACAUGGACCUUUUACAUUUACCAGAAGGAUGUUGAUAUAGCUGUGCUUAGGCAUGGCUUCAUGGUCCUGUUACAUUUACCAGAAGGGUGUUGAUAUAGCUGUGUUUAGGCAUGGCUUCAUGGACCUGUUACAUUUACCAGAAGGGUGUUGAUAUAGCUGUGUUUAGGCAUGGCUUCAUGGACCUGUUA